This 45-nucleotide non-coding RNA is filed under the name Schistosoma mattheei. The record is from RNAcentral. Lineage: Eukaryota; Metazoa; Platyhelminthes; Trematoda; Strigeidida; Schistosomatidae.
ACCCAGAUGACAAGUCCCAAAUGAGACGAAACGCGCUUCCUGGAU